Non-coding RNA from Roridomyces roridus, 97 nucleotides. The record is from the annotation of a GenBank genome assembly. NCBI's taxonomy places the organism in Eukaryota, Fungi, Basidiomycota, Agaricomycetes, Agaricales, Mycenaceae.
GGCCGCCUGGCGAAAUGGCAUCGCGUCUGACUACGAUGCGCAGCAGCUCACAGAGCAGAUAAUCAGGAGAUUGCAGGUUCGACCCCUGCGGUGGUCA